AGAGUUUGAUCCUGGCUCAGAACGAACGCUGGCGGCGUGCCUAACACAUGCAAGUCGAACGGAAGUAAGAAGCUUGCUUUUUACUUUAGUGGCGCACGGGUGAGUAACGCGUGGAUAAUCUGCCUGAUGCUCUGGGAUAACAUCUCGAAAGGGGUGCUAAUACCGGAUAAGCCCACGGGAUCUUCGGAUCUUGCGGGAAAAGGAGGGGACCUUCGGGCCUUCCGACAUUAGAUGAGUCCGCGUCCCAUUAGCUAGUUGGUGGUGUAAUGGACCACCAAGGCGACGAUCUGUAGCGGGUCUGAGAGGAUGAUCCGCCACACUGGAACUGAGACACGGUCCAGACUCCUACGGGAGGCAGCAGUGGGGAAUUUUGGACAAUGGGGGCAACCCUGAUCCAGCCAUGCCGCGUGAGUGAAGAAGGCCUUCGGGUUGUAAAGCUCUUUCAGCCGGGAAGAAAACGCAUGGGUUAAUACCCUGUGUGGAUGACGGUACCGGAAUAAGAAGCACCGGCUAACUACGUGCCAGCAGCCGCGGUAAUACGUAGGGUGCGAGCGUUAAUCGGAAUUACUGGGCGUAAAGCGUGCGCAGGCGGUUUGUUAAGAUAGGCGUGAAAUCCCCGGGCUCAACCUGGGAACUGCGUUUAUGACUGGCAAGCUAGAGUAUGGCAGAGGGGGGUGGAAUUCCACGUGUAGCAGUGAAAUGCGUAGAGAUGUGGAGGAACACCGAUGGCGAAGGCAGCCCCCUGGGCCAAUACUGACGCUCAUGCACGAAAGCGUGGGUAGCAAACAGGAUUAGAUACCCUGGUAGUCC
RNAcentral lists this ribosomal RNA (810 nucleotides) under uncultured bacterium. RNAcentral describes it as "bacterial SSU rRNA". It matches the Rfam family "Bacterial small subunit ribosomal RNA", at positions 8 to 796 of the family's 1533-position model. The record is from RNAcentral.